This 777-nucleotide ribosomal RNA is filed under the name uncultured bacterium. RNAcentral's name for it is "bacterial SSU rRNA". It matches the Rfam family "Bacterial small subunit ribosomal RNA", at positions 8 to 764 of the family's 1533-position model. The record is from RNAcentral.
AGAGUUUGAUUAUGGCUCAGNANGAACGCUGGCGGCGUGCUUAACACAUGCAAGUCGAACGAGGCUGAGGGGGCAACUCCUCAGUCGAGUGGCGGACGGGUGAGUAACACGUGGGUAACCUGCCCGGAAGUGGGGAAUACCUCGGGGAAACUCGAGCUAAUACCGCAUGACAUCUUCGGGACGAAAGUCCUGACGAUCAAAGCGGGGUCGCAAGAUCUCGCGCUACCGGAUGGGCCCGCGCCCGAUUAGCUAGUUGGUGAGGUAACGGCUCACCAAGGCUUCGAUCGGUAACCGGCCUGAGAGGGCGAUCGGUCACACCGGAACUGAGACACGGUCCGGACUCCUACGGGAGGCAGCAGUGGGGAAUCUUGCGCAAUGGGCGAAAGCCUGACGCAGCAACGCCGCGUGGAGGAUGAAGGCCCUUGGGUUGUAAACUCCUGUCGGCUGGGAAGAAAUCGUUCGUGGCUAAUACCUGCGGACGUUGACUGUACCAGCAAAGGAAGCCCCGGCUAACUCUGUGCCAGCAGCCGCGGUAAUACAGAGGGGGCCAGCGUUAUUCGGAAUUAUUGGGCGUAAAGGGCGCGUAGGCGGCCAUGCGUGUCUCCCGUGAAAUCCCUCGGCUUAACUGAGGACGUGCGGGGGAAACUGCAAGGCUCGAGUCCGGGAGANNGGGGUGGAAUUCCCAGUGUAGCGGCGAAAUGCGUAGAUAUUGGGAGGAACACCGGUGGCGANNNCGGCCCCCUGGACCGGUACUGACGCUGAGGCGCGAAAGCGUGG